GGAUCGAUGAUGACUCCCUCGUUCUGCAUUGCUUGGAAAAGCUGAACAAAAUGAGUGAGAACUCCAUACUGUCGUUCUCAUCGAAACUGAGGUCC
Molecule: small nucleolar RNA, 95 nt
Filed under: Ailuropoda melanoleuca (giant panda)
Lineage: Eukaryota; Metazoa; Chordata; Mammalia; Carnivora; Ursidae
Description: Small nucleolar RNA SNORD116
Rfam family: Small nucleolar RNA SNORD116
About the family: HBII-85 is a member of the C/D class of snoRNAs, which contain the C (UGAUGA) and D (CUGA) box motifs. HBII-85 is encoded in a tandemly repeated array with another C/D snoRNA, HBII-52, in the Prader-Willi syndrome (PWS) region of chromosome 15. Unlike most other snoRNAs, HBII-85 is expressed prevalently in the brain (but is absent in PWS patients) and lacks any significant complementarity with ribosomal RNA.
Source: RNAcentral